AACGAACGCUGGCGGCAUGCCUAACACAUGCAAGUCGAACGAGACCUUCGGGUCUAGUGGCGCACGGGUUCGUAACGCGUGGGAACCUGCCCUUAGGUUCGGAAUAACUCCCCGAAUGGGGUGCUAAUACCGGAUAAUGUCUUCGGACCAAAGAUUUAUCGCCUUUGGAUGGGCCCUCGUUGGAUUAGCUAGUUGUUAGGGUAAAAGCCUACCAAGGCGACGAUCCAUAGCUGGUCUGAGAGGAUGAUCAGCCACACUGGGACUGAGACACGGCCCAGACUCCUACGGGAGGCAGCAGUGGGGAAUAUUGGGCAAUGGGCGAAAGCCUGAUCCAGCAAUGCCGCGUGAGUGCUGAAGGCCUUAGGGUUGUAAAGCUCUUUUAACCGGGAUGAUAAUGACAGUACCGGGAGAAUAAGCUCCGGCUAACUCCGUG
This 433-nucleotide ribosomal RNA is filed under the name uncultured bacterium. RNAcentral describes it as "partial 16S ribosomal RNA". It matches the Rfam family "Bacterial small subunit ribosomal RNA", at positions 29 to 507 of the family's 1533-position model. The record is from RNAcentral.